This is a long non-coding RNA of Oncorhynchus tshawytscha (Chinook salmon), 1505 nucleotides long. The record is from Ensembl. Lineage: Eukaryota; Metazoa; Chordata; Actinopteri; Salmoniformes; Salmonidae.
AGAGGGACAGAGAGAGAGAGAGAGAGAGACAGAGAGAGAGAGAGAGAGAGAGCGCGAGAGAGAGGGGAAGAGGGACAGAGAGAGUUCGGCACUGCAGCUGUCUACAGAUCAGAUCUCACUUCUCUCUGUCAGACAGUUUUUUUUGCAUCGAGUUUGGAAGACCAGACGUGUUCUAAAGACUGGGACACCAUGAGUUCUAAUCUAGAACACUAAGACGUGAGUUCUAGAAAAACUGGAGCAUGACUUCUGGAACACUAAGAUAUGAGCUCUGGAACACUAAGACAUGAGUUCUGGAACACUAAGAUAUGAGUUCUGGAACACUAAGAUAUGAGUUCUAGAACACUGGAGCAUGAGUUCUGGAACACUAAGAUAUGAGUUCUGGAACACUAAGAUAUGAGUUCUAGAACACUGGGAUGUAAACUCUUAAGACCAAGGUGUCACACGCGUUUGCUCAUACAUGUUAUGGAAUGGUCAUGACGUGACGUCACUGGCUGAAGAAGAGAACACGUAAACAAACGCAAGUAAUAGAUCAAGUCCUGAAUGGCACCCUACUGCCUAUAUAGUGCACUGCUUUUAAACCAGAGCCAUGCAUUUAGAGUUGAUAGCGCCCCAUUAACAUGACAUGGGGAAUAUUUAAACACAAUGCUCUCUAAGUGAAGAUCUAGAAUGAUGUAUUUACAUGACAAUACAACAUUCUAUAACAGCCAUGUUAGAUCUCCAUUAACAUUACAUGGGGAAUAUUUAAACAAUGCUCUCUGGUGAAGAUCUAGAAUGAGAACAAUAUUGAACAUUCUAGAAGCUUAUCUCUCUACAUACAUGUCUCUGCUUUUAGCCAUCUCCCACGGUUACCACUACAUAGCGAACAGGCCAGACAGUUCAGAGUCCAAACAGAGUAAUGGAAGAACAUUCUGGAAGAGAACCAGUGUCUCCUGGCUCCUCUUGAAACCUCUUCAGACCAGUUGGUUCCAGCUGGAGUUGGUUCUGUUUCUGUUGGGUUAAACCAAACCGCAGGAACAGAGGGGUGCCAGUGAUGUUGGUACAGUCCAUGUUGAUGGGAGCUAGUGGGUGAAGGUGUGGCUAGUUGGGUUUCCGUUAGCUAGUUUGGUUCUGUUGGGUUAAACCAAACCGCAGGAACAGAGGGGUGCCAGUGAUGUUGGUACAGUCCAUGUUGAUGGGAGCUAGUGGGUGAAGGUGUGGCUAGUUGGGUUUCCGUUAGCUAGUUUGCUGUUGAAUGGGGCUGUUCUGGUAAUGGCAUUGUGUAUAAUGCUAUAAGAUGUAUAUACAGUGUCAGUCAAAAGAUAGGACACACCUACUCAUUUAAGGGUUUUUCUUUAUUUUUACUAUUUUCUACAUUGUAUGGAAACAUGUAGUAACCAAAAAAAAGUGUUAAAUACGAAUAUAUUUUAUAUUUCAGAUUCUUUAUAGCAGCCACCCUCCCCCUUGAUGACAGCUUUAUAGCAGCCACCCUCCCCCUUGAUGACAGCUUUAUAGCAGCCACCCUCCCC